UGGGGGAUAUUGCACAAUGGGCGAAAGCCUGAUGCAGCGACGCCGCGUGGGGGAUGAAGGCUCUCGGGUUGUAAACCUCUUUCGCUAUCGAACAAGGCCCGCUUAGGGUGGGUGGAGGGUAGGUGGAGAAGAAGCGCCGGCUAACUACGUGCAAGCAGCCGCGGUAAUACGUAGGGCGCGAGCGUUGUCCGGAAUUAUUGGGUGUAAAGGGCUUGUAGGCGGCUUGGUGCGCCUGCUGUGAAAACGCGGGGCUUAACUUCGCGCGUGCAGUGGGUACGGGCAGGCUUGAGUGUGGUAGGGGUGACUGGAAUUCCAGGUGUAGCGGUGGAAUGCGCAGAUAUCUGGAGGAACACCGAUGGCGAAGGCAGGUCACUGGGCCAUUACUGACGCUGAGGAGCGAAAGCAUGGGUAGCGAACAGG
This 420-nucleotide ribosomal RNA is filed under the name bacterium. RNAcentral's name for it is "partial 16S ribosomal RNA". It matches the Rfam family "Bacterial small subunit ribosomal RNA", at positions 355 to 776 of the family's 1533-position model. The record is from RNAcentral.